This 254-nucleotide long non-coding RNA is filed under the name Volvox carteri. RNAcentral's name for it is "long non-coding RNA (VCAR_LNC002209)". The record is from RNAcentral. Lineage: Eukaryota; Viridiplantae; Chlorophyta; Chlorophyceae; Chlamydomonadales; Volvocaceae.
UAAAGCCAGGCUAGGAUGUAAGCCUCGAGGACAUGACCACGAAAGUGCCAGCAACUCCAGAAUCAACGAGAGAUGGGAAACAACAGCAGAACUCAUUGAUGAGCAAGUGAGUUUUUGCGUAAUCUAGCCAUGGCGAAGACGUCGACCAAGCAUAGAACGGUGAAAAGUCCAAGUCUUGUCAUGGUCAAGUGCGAUCUUUAUUGUGACGAUCAAGGAAAAACUUUACCGAGCAGCACUGUGGGUCUGGAUUAUAU